Molecule: long non-coding RNA, 4838 nt
Organism: Dreissena polymorpha
Lineage: Eukaryota; Metazoa; Mollusca; Bivalvia; Myida; Dreissenidae
Exons: 3
Source: RefSeq, a predicted model, not a curated record
UACGCCUUGACAUUUAAGUUCUAUGCCACAUCUGAGAGGGCCAAUACUAAAAUACAAUGAAAAGUCUAUAUAUGUUUACAAAUCUGGUCAGUGCUUUACUCAGUUUUGAUUGAUUUUACACCUUAACCGACCCAUCAGUCUGGUAAUCUGCAUCUACAAGACCGCAAAGCGCAUUGGAUACCAGUGCAUGUACUAGUACCUUGCGACAGAAAGCGUCAUCGCGUUAAAGCAAGCCUGUUUUCGAAAACCAAAACAGAAGAGUACGGAAGACCAUACAACAAAUUUCACCAAGGUUUUCGAAGACGAAUCUAAUGGACAAAAGAUUAUCCAUAGAUAUACUUAAGACAUACUAUAGUAUGUAAUUCUAUAGUAUGUAAAUUCGGAGAGCCGGGGGUCGGUAGUUGGUCUUAUUAAGAAAACAGAGCAGCUGCGCCAAGAUCACAACAAUUAGAAGACUUGUCGCCCAUGGUGUUAGUAUUCGUCAUCAACGAAAUCAUACCCGAACUGACAGAACUACAAAAAAAAGAGAUAGAAUCAGUUAUAUACGCAGGUGAAUUGACGCUCUAUUGCACAGACGUUUAAGCACAAGCCGCAAUAUAUAGAAUGCAACUUGCCUAGGACGAGAUCUCAGACCUUUAACUGGUGCGUUUUCAUCACCAAUCGUACAUCCGCACUCCAACAAAGUUCAGUCUGGAAGACUUCCACAAACAAACAAUUCGCUCCAUUAUGAAGAAAAACUAAAUAACUUAAAGGCAACAAGAAGAGAAUGCGAAGGAAACAAAAGGUACGGUGCGAAGAGCCUAAAGCCAGGCGGAUAAAACGUGUCAUCACUGGGAAGCUGCCAGUAACACAUUGGGGGAUAAGACCUUAUCCGGAAUAAAGCUCAAACUAGAUAUGUCUGUAUAGCCCUUCCAUCACAAUCUGUACAUAGUUCAGAACGAAUUUUAUGCAUCAUCACCCGUGUAGUGAGAACCCUCGUCAAGAAAAGUGAUAUAAAUAAACCGGACAUUUCUUCUCCAUAUAAAAGAAGGGAAUGCAAAUGAAUGAACGCCAUAUAGUAACAGAAUCACCUGAUAAACCGCAGUGACAAGCCUUGGAAUACAAAUACUGAACAGACGCCCACGUAGUCUUCCUAACAGUCUUUGUCCGUCCUCGAAUAAGCGAUAGACAACAAUCUGCCUGUCAUCACAGCAGCUCUGCCUGUUAAGAUCGAAACUUCCUGAGGACAGCUCACAUCUCUAGACUAGAACAUUAUCAUAAUCCGACCUACAACAGGGUACAUUAGACCAAACCACAGCAAGCGCAACAUAUCCCAUCUUGUGACGAUUUUAACGUGCUCCUGCGGAGAAGCCGAUCAAAGCGCAAAACACAUCCUCCAGGAAUGCAGAGAUCACCAACCAACGAAUUUCCGUAACCUGUAAGUCAGCAUAAACGUCGCCAUCUUGACAAUCACGUGAUUUCCCCUUCCGUAAAGUAAACGUUUAUAGCUUUUGCCAAUGAUAUAAUUGUUUAACGAACAGUGUUUGUUUUGACUCUAAGAACGAUUUUUCAUUUAAAAUGGUCUAAGAAAAAAUGACUAAACUGGUUCUGAAACAUUCUCAGAAGAAAAUAGUUGAAAACAAAUGUUUCUAAGUGAACAAUUGUAUGAAUUAGAAAAUUCUAUUGUUAAUUAUCUAUUUCGUCUGCCAACAUCCUACUACAUCCGGGCAUUUUUACCGCAUUUUAACACUCAACCGACUCUUUGAUUUGUGGUUAUUAAGUCUAUUGGCUAAAGAAAAUGUACAAAAAGAACAUUUUUAUCUUGUUAAAUCUAUGUUACCAGACAACAUCUAGCGUUCAAAUUAAGGCUAUUGCUAUAGUGAAAGUUAAUUUUUUUAUGUGUUAACUUUAUUUUUCGAAAUAUUGUACGAAAUAUUUGUUGAUUUUUAGUGUUUAUGGGCUUUUAAAGCAUUACUAUAUUGUUAUGAAAGCAAAGUAAUUGGUGUAGCAAUUCUUUUUGUAAUGAUUCUUUUACGUGAUUCACAAAACGUGAAAAUGAUCAUUACAUGUGAAUCGCCUUUUCAAAUCGCAUAACUCGCUUGCAUGUCUGAAAAGGCCGAAAUAUCGAAUUACAAAAUAGCUUCGAUCGUUGGCAGACUGCCAGACCUGGUCUGGGUUGUACGGAAUACCGUUAGUGCCAUCGUGGUUACACGGUAAAAUCCAGAGAGCGAUAAUGUAAUAGUGCGAUAGUACGAUGACCACAAUGCGAUAGUACGAUGACGACAGUGCGACAAUACGAUGGCGACAGUGCGAUAGAACGAUGGCGACGAUACGAUAGUACGAUGACGACAGUGCGGCAAUACGAUGGCGACAGUGCGAUAAUAAGAUGACGACAGUACGAUUAUGCGAUAGUACGAUGGCGACAAUGCGAUAAUACGAUGUCGACAGUGCGACAAUACGAAGGCGACAGUGCGACAAUACGAUGGCGACAGUGCGAUAGUACGAUGGCGACGAUGCGAUUGUACGAUGACGACAGUGCGACAAGACGAUGGCGACAGUGCGUUAAUACGAUGACGCCAGUACGAUAACGCGAUAGUACGAUGGCGACAAUGCGAUAAAACAAUGACCACAGUGCGACAAUACGAUGAAGACAGUGCGAUAGUACGAUGGCGACAAUGCGAUAGUGCGAUAAUACGAUGACAACAGUGCGAUAAUACGAUGGCGACAGUGCGAUAGUACGAUGGCGACAAUGCGACUAUGCGAUAGUGCGAUAGUACGAUGGCGACAAUGAGAUAAUACGAUGACGACAAUGCAACAAUACGAUGACGACAGUGCGAUAGUACGAUUGCGACAAUGCGAUAAUACGAUGACGACAGUACGAUAAUGCGAUAGUACGAUGGCGACAAUGCGAUGAUACGAUGGCGACAGUACGAUAUGACUAUCGCAUAGUCGCCAUCGUACAAUCGCACUGUCGCCAUCGUUUUGUCACACUGUUGGAUUGUCGUCAUCGUACUAUCGCGUUGUCGCAUUGUCGCCAUCGUACUUUCGCAUUGUCACCAUCGUACUAUCGCAUUGUCGCCAUCGCACUAUCGAAUUGUUGCCAUUGUACUAUCGAACUAUCGCAUUGGCGCCCUCAGGAUUUUAAUGUGUAACCACUUUGGCCCUAACGGUAUUCCGUAUGGUUGUGCGUUUCAUGUUGUAAAGGUUUAAGAAGACGCAUUAAAUAUUUAAUCUCAUUUGUGUAGUACAUUAAAGGAAUAUUUCGCAGGUAUUCCUUAAUGUGGAAAGUGGGUUUCUAGUAUGGGAAAUUCAAUCAAUAAAUCACCAACCUUUACGUUAGAGCAAAGAGGAAAGUGGCAUUACAAGAUCUACUUUUAUCUAGAAACAGAAGAAGGCAAAAUAUGCGGUCAGGUUGGCGACUGCGGAAUAAUGACAGAGCUCCUAAACAAGGUAGGCGCUAACGAGAAUAUAGAGAAGGUUUGGGCUUAUCAACGGCCUCUGUCUAAGUGGCAAAUGACACAAUUUAUCUUCUUCCACAUGUUUGUUGUCUUCAAGACAAGAACAUGGUGGUGGUCCAUAGAGAAAAAUCGCGAAGGGAUUAAUGUUCAUCGGAGUCACAUUCAGUCUGAUGUGAUAGAUUAUUGCAGAAACGAAACGAGCUCAAGUUCAACAAAAAUCAUCGAAGAAGAUGAUGGUGGAAUGAACGUUCACGAUUUCUUAAACUGGCUUUUGAUAAACCAGGAACUAGAUAAAGAAUAUCAAUACAUGUAUUCAAAUUGUAAGGAUUUUGCGAGAGCAGUAUUUCAUCGUGUUGCGAAAACAAAACAUAUGCUUUAAAAAAUUAACGAAGAACUGCCACUUGACGUGCAGAAUGUGACGUUCUGUGUAAUCCUUUAUAUAGACAAUGUUCAAUCAUGAACUACCGGCCACCUGUAAGGUGGAAUGGGACUGGAAGUGCUCAACAUUUUUUAAGACAAUGUACUUUAAUGAACUGCCACUUCUAACGUUGGAAUAUGAUGGAAAAUUGCUUGAUAACGUCUUAUACAAGCCAGAGACUAUGCACUGCUGACACUCGUAUGGUAGAAUGUCACGGAAAAGUCAGUUAUAAUGCCUUAUUAUUGUUAUAUGUGCAGCAUUCUACAAACGCGUUUUCGCACUUCUUUGUCAUUUUUUGUCUGCAUAUUAAUAUGUAUAUUUGGUUGAGAUCUAUUUAGAAGCGCUCUUGGUUUGUGAUAAAGUCUGGGGUAAGUUUGAGAUUCGCCCGGUCUUUUAACCGGUUUUCUCGCUCAACGUUUUCAACUGACCGAUUUCAAGGCGGUGAUCCCAGUUUUAAUAAGUGUAUAUGUAUAGUUGGUGUUAUGUUAUAAAAGUAGAUUAUACAAAGUAGAACUUAUCUCCUGAAAGAUGUCCUGAAGUUUCGUCGUUUGAUGGAUAUCACAGACCAAGCAUAAUAAAGAACGUCCGCUUGUACGGCGUUAUAUCACUGAAAAUGGAUUAACAACGCCUUAUACAAAAGGUAACCUGCUGAAGUACAGUCACUUGUAUGGCGGAGUGUACCGGAACAAAUGCUUACCAGCGCCUUAAAUAGACUAUACCCUUGAGUUUCACCACUUGUAUUGCCAGAUUUGUCAGCAGAAAGACGAAGUUCGUAUUUAUAUAACUUAUUUUUAUGAAGGUGGUUACAAUACCAAACAUUUGUUCUAUUUCAUGUAAAAAAUAUUUUAUUAAUUAUUCGUUAACGUUUUAGGUCGUAACCUAAUAUGUUUAAAAUGUGUGGAGUAAAAUUAUUGAGGCAUUCUUAUUAGAAUAUAAUCUUAAUGUGAGUCCGUUUGACAAUAAACAUAACACUCGGAAUAUUA